GGAGAGGUGGCUGAGCUGGCCGAAGGCGCACGACUGGAAAUCGUGUAGGCGUUAAAAGCGUCUCGCGGGUUCGAAUCCCGCCCUCUCCGCCA
RNAcentral lists this transfer RNA (92 nucleotides) under Bacillota bacterium. RNAcentral describes it as "tRNA-Ser". It matches the Rfam family "tRNA". From Rfam's summary of the family: Transfer RNA (tRNA) molecules are approximately 80 nucleotides in length. The record is from RNAcentral. RNAcentral also lists the same sequence under 4 other names. Lineage: Bacteria; Bacillati; Bacillota.